Molecule: ribosomal RNA, 1390 nt
Filed under: Escherichia coli
Lineage: Bacteria; Pseudomonadati; Pseudomonadota; Gammaproteobacteria; Enterobacterales; Enterobacteriaceae
Description: partial 23S ribosomal RNA
Rfam family: Bacterial large subunit ribosomal RNA
Source: RNAcentral
GUACCGUGAGGGAAAGGCGAAAAGAACCCCGGCGAGGGGAGUGAAAAAGAACCUGAAACCGUGUACGUACAAGCAGUGGGAGCCUCUUAAUGGGGUGACUGCGUACCUUUUGUAUAAUGGGUCAGCGACUUAUAUUCUGUAGCAAGGUUAACCGAAUAGGGGAGCCGAAGGGAAACCGAGUCUUAACUGGGCGUUAAGUUGCAGGGUAUAGACCCGAAACCCGGUGAUCUAGCCAUGGGCAGGUUGAAGGUUGGGUAACACUAACUGGAGGACCGAACCGACUAAUGUUGAAAAAUUAGCGGAUGACUUGUGGCUGGGGGUGAAAGGCCAAUCAAACCGGGAGAUAGCUGGUUCUCCCCGAAAGCUAUUUAGGUAGCGCCUCGUGAAUUCAUCUCCGGGGGUAGAGCACUGUUUCGGCAAGGGGGUCAUCCCGACUUACCAACCCGAUGCAAACUGCGAAUACCGGAGAAUGUUAUCACGGGAGACACACGGCGGGUGCUAACGUCCGUCGUGAAGAGGGAAACAACCCAGACCGCCAGCUAAGGUCCCAAAGUCAUGGUUAAGUGGGAAACGAUGUGGGAAGGCCCAGACAGCCAGGAUGUUGGCUUAGAAGCAGCCAUCAUUUAAAGAAAGCGUAAUAGCUCACUGGUCGAGUCGGCCUGCGCGGAAGAUGUAACGGGGCUAAACCAUGCACCGAAGCUGCGGCAGCGACACUAUGUGUUGUUGGGUAGGGGAGCGUUCUGUAAGCCUGUGAAGGUGGCCUGUGAGGGUUGCUGGAGGUAUCAGAAGUGCGAAUGCUGACAUAAGUAACGAUAAAGCGGGUGAAAAGCCCGCUCGCCGGAAGACCAAGGGUUCCUGUCCAACGUUAAUCGGGGCAGGGUGAGUCGACCCCUAAGGCGAGGCCGAAAGGCGUAGUCGAUGGGAAACAGGUUAAUAUUCCUGUACUUGGUGUUACUGCGAAGGGGGGACGGAGAAGGCUAUGUUGGCCGGGCGACGGUUGUCCCGGUUUAAGCGUGUAGGCUGGUUUUCCAGGCAAAUCCGGAAAACCAAGGCUGAGGCGUGAUGACGAGGCACUACGGUGCUGAAGCGACAAAUGCCCUGCUUCCAGGAAAAGCCUCUAAGCAUCAGGUAACAUCAAAUCGUACCCCAAACCGACACAGGUGGUCAGGUAGAGAAUACCAAGGCGCUUGAGAGAACUCGGGUGAAGGAACUAGGCAAAAUGGUGCCGUAACUUCGGGAGAAGGCACGCUGAUAUGUAGGUGAAGCGACUUGCUCGUGGAGCUGAAAUCAGUCGAAGAUACCAGCUGGCUGCAACUGUUUAUUAAAAACACAGCACUGUGCAAACACGAAAGUGGACGUAUACGGUGUGACGCCUGCCCGGUGCCGGAAG